This 676-nucleotide ribosomal RNA is filed under the name Coprinellus sp. JZ-80. RNAcentral's name for it is "eukaryotic LSU rRNA". The stretch from base 250 to 403 matches the Rfam family "5.8S ribosomal RNA". Lineage: Eukaryota; Fungi; Basidiomycota; Agaricomycetes; Agaricales; Psathyrellaceae. The record is from RNAcentral.
GGGCAUUACGAUACUAUGGUGUCUUGGUUGUAGCUGGCUCCUCGGAGCAAUGUGCACGCCCGCCAUUUUUAUCUUUCCACCUGUGCACCGACUGUAGGUCUGGAUACCUCUCGCCCUUCACGGGGCGGAUGCGAGGGUUGCCCGUCACACGGCUCCCCUCGAAUUUCCAGGCUCUACGUCUUUUUACACACCCCAAUAGUAUGAUGCAGAAUGUAGUCAAUGGGCUUCUCAGCCUAUAAAACACUAUACAACUUUCAGCAACGGAUCUCUUGGCUCUCGCAUCGAUGAAGAACGCAGCGAAAUGCGAUAAGUAAUGUGAAUUGCAGAAUUCAGUGAAUCAUCGAAUCUUUGAACGCACCUUGCGCUCCUUGGUAUUCCGAGGAGCAUGCCUGUUUGAGUGUCAUUAAAUUCUCAACCUCACCAGUUUUCUGAACUGUUCUUCGAGGCUUGGAUGUGGGGGUUUGUGCAGGCUGCCUCACGGCGGUCCGCUCCCCUGAAAUGCAUUAGCGAGUUCAUACUGAACUUCCGUCUAUUGGUGUGAUAAUUAUCUACGCCGUGGACGAGGAUCAGACUCGCUUCUAACCGUCCGCGAGGACAAUACCUUGACAAUUUGACCUCAAAUCAGGUAGGACUACCCGCUGAACUUAAGCAUAUCAUAGCCGGGGAGAGAGAGAAC